Lacerta agilis (Sand lizard) is the source of this 273-nucleotide long non-coding RNA. RefSeq lists it as uncharacterized. Lineage: Eukaryota; Metazoa; Chordata; Lepidosauria; Squamata; Lacertidae. The record is from RefSeq and is a predicted model, not a curated record. The transcript is spliced from 2 exons.
AAGAAAAGAAACUCUGCUGAAGAAUGGUGGAAUAUCCUAAACUGGGGACUGCUUGCUUGAUGUUUAAGCAGAAAAUGAAUAAUACAAUGAUAAGAAGAUGCAGCAUAAAUUACUAAUGGCAAAUUAACAGCACAUCCCCAGGACAACAGCAGUGGCAAGAACAUGGACGACACCUGUUAUGCUCCACGUUUAAGAGCACUUCGAUGGAAUUAUUUAUCAGCAUAAGUAAUUUCCAUUAACUUUAACUGAAUAAAAAUGCAGAGAAUACAUUAA